GAUCCUGGCUCAGAUUGAACGCUGGCGGCAUGCCUUACACAUGCAAGUCGAGCGGCAGCGCGGGGGCAACCCUGGCGGCGAGCGGCGAACGGGUGAGUAAUACAUCGGAACGUGUCCUGCAGUGGGGGAUAACCUAUCGAAAGGUAGGCUAAUACCGCAUGUGCUCGGGAGAGCAAAGCGGGGGACCGCAGGGCCUCGCGCUACAGGAGCGGCCGAUGUCCGAUUAGCUAGUAGGUGGGGUAAGAGCCCACCUAGGCGACGAUCGGUAGCUGGUCUGAGAGGAUGAUCAGCCACACUGGGACUGAGACACGGCCCAGACUCCUACGGGAGGCAGCAGUGGGGAAUUUUGGACAAUGGGGGCAACCCUGAUCCAGCCAUGCCGCGUGAGUGAAGAAGGCCUUCGGGUUGUAAAGCUCUUUCGGCGGGAACGAAAGGGGUCGUGCUAAUACCAUGGCCCGAUGACGGUACUCGCAGAAGAAGCACCGGCUAACUACGUGCCAGCCGCCGC
RNAcentral lists this ribosomal RNA (508 nucleotides) under uncultured bacterium. Its description in RNAcentral is "bacterial SSU rRNA". It matches the Rfam family "Bacterial small subunit ribosomal RNA", at positions 15 to 518 of the family's 1533-position model. The record is from RNAcentral.